RNAcentral lists this ribosomal RNA (268 nucleotides) under uncultured Desulfovibrio sp. RNAcentral describes it as "partial 16S ribosomal RNA". It matches the Rfam family "Bacterial small subunit ribosomal RNA", at positions 1113 to 1382 of the family's 1533-position model. Lineage: Bacteria; Pseudomonadati; Thermodesulfobacteriota; Desulfovibrionia; Desulfovibrionales; Desulfovibrionaceae. The record is from RNAcentral.
AGUUGCCAGCAUUCAGUUGGGCACUCGUAGAGGGACUGCCGGUGUCAAACCGGAGGAAGGUGGGAUGACGUCAAGUCCUCAUGGCCUUUAUGUCUAGGGCUACACACGUACUACAAUGGCCGGUACAAAGGGCAGCCACUCAGCGAUGAGGCGCUAAUCCCAUAAAGCCGGUCUCAGUCCGGAUCGCAGUCUGCAACUCGACUGCGUGAAGUUGGAAUCGCUAGUAAUCGUAGAUCAGCAUGCUACGGUGAAUACGUUCCCGGGCCUU